CGGUGUGUAGCGCAGUUUGGUUAGCGCACUCGUUUUGGGAACGAGAGAGCCUUGGUUCGAAUCCAAGUACACCGACCA
RNAcentral lists this transfer RNA (78 nucleotides) under Chloroflexota bacterium. RNAcentral's name for it is "tRNA-Pro". It matches the Rfam family "tRNA". Rfam says of the family: Transfer RNA (tRNA) molecules are approximately 80 nucleotides in length. Their secondary structure includes four short double-helical elements and three loops (D, anti-codon, and T loops). The record is from RNAcentral. Lineage: Bacteria; Bacillati; Chloroflexota.